CCCUAGUAACGGCGAGUGAAGCGGGAACAGCUCAAAUUUGAAAUCUGGCCCUUGGGUCCGAGUUGUAAUUUGCAGAGGAUGCUUUUGGUGCGGUGCCUUCCGAGUUCCCUGGAACGGGACGCCUUAGAGGGUGAGAGCCCCGUACGGUUGGCCACCAAGCCUGUGUAAAGCUCCUUCGACGAGUCGAGUAGUUUGGGAAUGCUGCUCAAAAUGGGAGGUAUAUUUCUUCUAAAGCUAAAUACUGGCCAGAGACCGAUAGCGCACAAGUAGAGUGAUCGAAAGAUGAAAAGCACUUUGAAAAGAGGGUUAAAUAGCACGUGAAAUUGUUGAAAGGGAAGGAUUUAUGACCAGACUUUUUCUGGGGGGAUCAUCCGGUGUUCUCACCGGUGCACUUCCCCCAGUGGAGGCCAGCAUCGGUUUCUGCCGGGGGACAAAAGCUUCGGGAAUGUGGCUCCUUCGGGAGUGUUAUAGCCCGUUGCAUAAUACCCUGGCGGGGACCGAGGUUCGCGCAUUGCAAGGAUGCUGGCGUAAUGGUUAUUAAUCACCCGUCUUGAAACACGGACCAAGGAGUCGAACAUUUGUGCGAGUGUUUGGGUGUUAAACCCUCACGCGUAAUGAAAGUGAACGGAGGUGAGAGCCCCUCGGGGUGCAUCAUCGACCGAUCCUGAUGUCUUCGGAUGGAUUUGAGUAAGAGCAUAACUGUUCGGACCCGAAAGAUGGUGAACUAUGCGUGGAUAGGGUGAAGCCAGAGGAAACUCUGGUGGAGGCUCGCAGCGGUUCUGACGUGCAAAUCGAUCGUCAAAUCUGCGCAUGGGGGCGAAAGACUAAUCGAACCAU
This 837-nucleotide ribosomal RNA is filed under the name Apiospora italica. Its description in RNAcentral is "Arthrinium italicum partial large subunit ribosomal RNA". It matches the Rfam family "Eukaryotic large subunit ribosomal RNA", at positions 78 to 943 of the family's 3401-position model. Lineage: Eukaryota; Fungi; Ascomycota; Sordariomycetes; Amphisphaeriales; Apiosporaceae. The record is from RNAcentral.